GUGCUCAUGUCAGUAGCACAUAUACUAAAAUGGGAACAAUAUAGAGAAGAUUAGCAUGGCUGUUGUACAAUGAUAUCAUGCAAAUUCCUAAAGCAGUCCAUAUUUCU
Small nuclear RNA from Mustela putorius furo (domestic ferret), 107 nucleotides. NCBI's taxonomy places the organism in Eukaryota, Metazoa, Chordata, Mammalia, Carnivora, Mustelidae. The record is from Ensembl.